AAACGGCCUUUAAAAUGGAGUUACCAAAAUACUCGGUUUCUGUUAUUCCCAUUUUAGCUUCCAACACCCCAUUCUCCCUCUCUCCUUCCCUCUUCCUUCUCUCUUUCUUUCUCUCUCUCUCUCACUUUCAUUUCUGUGCAGAAAAGCUUUGUUAAUGUAUUUUAAUGGCUUCGGAUAAAGGUCGCCCCUUGCCGAAGUUCGGCGAGUGGGAUGUCAACAACCCAGCCUCCGCUGAAGGAUUUACGGUAAUAUUUAGCAAAGCUAGAGAUGAGAAGAAGUCAAAUGAGGCUCCUGGGAACACAGGAGCCAAAAACAAUACAUCCAGACCAGAAGAGAAUUAUCAAUAUUCUCCCAUGAAAAAAUGGUUUUGCUGUUUCUGAAACUGCUAGGGAGUGAUGGUGGUGGUGACGACAGAUAAUGUGAAAGAAGGCUGAAGAAAAGAUUUAUGAGUGAGAAGCAGAAUCAAGUAGGGAUGUGAUGGUUUAUUUCCUCUCUCUCUCUCUCUCUGUACCUCUUACUAUAUAUGCAAAAUAUAGAAUACAAAAAUUUUCAUGACAUGCAUAUAGAAGUUGAGCGGUGGUUAUAGCUCCCUGUAAGUUUCGCUCUAAUAGAAACUUUUUGCUUUCAGUUUUUUUUUCUCAAUGUCACGGAUAUUGUUGUUUGCAAAUUAACCAUUCAAAAAUUUCUGAACCAACACACUUUGUUUUUCUAAACUGUACAUGUUACAUGGUGAAAAGAAAAGACCCAUACUCACCUACUUAAAUGAUUAAUGACAUGCCUCUCACAAACAAAUGAAAUCUAACCUUAUACUUACAUCAAAGCGCACUGCCGUGUUUGAUCACGUAUCACAUUAGGGAUGGUCAUGCCUAUCCUAGCCCAAAUGCGAUGGUCAUCUCCAUUGCGAUUUUCAUUUUUCUCUAUUCUACCACAAUAUUCAUGGGAAAAGCACAACAAAGUGAGAAAAAUGAAGAUCGCGAUAAACAUAGUCAUCACAUUAGGGUUAUGAUAAGCAUCGUCAUCUCUAAUGUGAUACUAUAUAAAACACUGAUAGUGCACUUUGACGUACGCAAAGGUUAGAUUGGGAGUAGGUCAUUAAUCAUAAAAGUACCCGUGAAAAGGUCUAUCUGUAGGGGAAAAAAAAAGCUCUAAAAAGAAAUCUAAAAAGAAACCAAACGACUGCUUCCUUUUUUUUCCUUAGAAUGGUAGAGAGGGAGAAUUUAAAUUAAU
Molecule: non-coding RNA, 1227 nt
Organism: Benincasa hispida (wax gourd)
Lineage: Eukaryota; Viridiplantae; Streptophyta; Magnoliopsida; Cucurbitales; Cucurbitaceae
Source: RefSeq, a predicted model, not a curated record